CAAUAAGCCCGGAAGGAA
Molecule: ribosomal RNA, 18 nt
Filed under: Ceratobasidium sp. AG-P
Lineage: Eukaryota; Fungi; Basidiomycota; Agaricomycetes; Cantharellales; Ceratobasidiaceae
Description: partial 28S ribosomal RNA
Source: RNAcentral